GAUAAACGCUGGCGGCGUGCUUAACACAUGCAAGUCGAACGAAGUUUUUCCUUCGGGAGAAACUUAGUGGCGGACGGGUGAGUAACGCGUGGGUAACCUGCCCUGUACAGGGGGACAACAGCUGGAAACGGCUGCUAAUACCGCAUAAGCACUUAGCAUUGCAUGGUGCAUAGGGAAAAGGAGCAAUCCGGUACAGGAUGGACCCGCGUCUGAUUAGCCAGUUGGCAGGGUAACGGCCUACCAAAGCGACGAUCAGUAGCCGAUCUGAGAGGAUGUACGGCCACAUUGGGAAUGAGACACGGCCCAGACUCCUACGGGAAGCGGCAGUGGUGAAUAUUGCACAAUGGAGGGAACUCUGAUGCAGCGGCGCCGCGUGAGUGAAGAAGUAUUUCGGUAUGUAAAGCUCUAUCAGCAGGGAAGAAAAUGACGGUACCUGACUAAGAAGCACCGGCUAAAUACGUG
This 462-nucleotide ribosomal RNA is filed under the name uncultured bacterium. Its description in RNAcentral is "partial 16S ribosomal RNA". It matches the Rfam family "Bacterial small subunit ribosomal RNA", at positions 28 to 507 of the family's 1533-position model. The record is from RNAcentral.